RNAcentral lists this ribosomal RNA (440 nucleotides) under uncultured bacterium. RNAcentral describes it as "partial 16S ribosomal RNA". It matches the Rfam family "Bacterial small subunit ribosomal RNA", at positions 338 to 795 of the family's 1533-position model. The record is from RNAcentral.
CCUACGGGAGGCAGCAGUGGGGAAUAUUGCACAAUGGGGGAAACCCUGAUGCAGCGACGCCGCGUGCGUGAAGCAGUAUUUCGGUAUGGAAAGCUCUAUCAGUAGGGAAGAUAAUGACGGUACCUGAGUAAGAAGGACAGGCUAACUACGUGCCAGCAGCCGCGGUAACACGUAGGGAGCGAGCGUUAUACGGAUUUACUGGGUGUAAAGGGAGCGUAGACGGCAUGGCAAGUCUGAAGUGAAAGCCCGGGGCUCAACCCCGGGACUGCCUUGGAAACUGUUAAGCUGGCGUGCAGUAGGGGUAAGUGGAAUUUCUAGUGUAGCGGUGAAAUGCUUAGAGAUUAGACAGAACACCAGUGGCGAAGGCAGCUUACUGGACUAUAUCUGACGUUGAGGCUCGAAAGCGUGGGGAGCAAACAGGAUUAGAUACCCUUGUAGUC